This 510-nucleotide ribosomal RNA is filed under the name uncultured bacterium. Its description in RNAcentral is "partial 16S ribosomal RNA". It matches the Rfam family "Bacterial small subunit ribosomal RNA", at positions 28 to 507 of the family's 1533-position model. The record is from RNAcentral.
GACGAACGCUGGCGGCGUGCUUAACACAUGCAAGUCGAACGAAGAGCGAUGGAAGCUUGCUUCUAUCAAUCUUAGUGGCGAACGGGUGAGUAACGCGUAAUCAACCUGCCCUUCAGAGGGGGACAACAGUUGGAAACGACUGCUAACACCGCAUACGAUCUAAUCUCGGCAUCGAGGAUAGAUGAAAGGUGGCCUCUACAUGUAAGCUAUCACUGAAGGAGGGGAUUGCGUCUGAUUAGCUAGUUGGAGGGGUAACGGCCCACCAAGGCGAUGAUCAGUAGCCGGUCUGAGAGGAGGAACGGCCACAUUGGGACUGAGACACGGCCCAGACUCCUACGGGAGGCAGCAGUGGGGAAUCUUCCGCAAUGGACGAAAGUCUGACGGAGCAACGCCGCGUGAGUGAUGACGGCCUUCGGGUUGUAAAGCUCUGUUAAUCGGGACGAAAGGCCUUCUUGCGAAUAGUGAGAAGGAUUGACGGUACCGGAAUAGAAAGCCACGGCUAACUACGUG